This 253-nucleotide ribosomal RNA is filed under the name uncultured bacterium. RNAcentral describes it as "partial 16S ribosomal RNA". It matches the Rfam family "Bacterial small subunit ribosomal RNA", at positions 524 to 776 of the family's 1533-position model. The record is from RNAcentral.
UACGUAGGGGGCUAGCGUUGUCCGGAAUCAUUGGGCGUAAAGCGCGUGUAGGCGGCCCGGUAAGUCCGCUGUGAAAGUCGGGGGCUCAACCCUCGGAUGCCGGUGGAUACUGUCGGGCUAGAGUACGGAAGAGGCGAGUGGAAUUCCUGGUGUAGCGGUGAAAUGCGCAGAUAUCAGGAGGUACACCAAUUGCGAAGGCAGCUCGCUGGGACGUCACUGACGCUGAGACGCGAAAGCGUGGGGAGCAAACAGG